AGCAGAGAGAAACUUUCAUAAUGCACUUCGUUGUUAUUGAUUUUUAGCUCAUGAAGUUUUUCUUCAAACAAUUUGUGUGAUGAUGGAGAUAUGUUGACUUUGUAAUAGAGAUUCUAAGAGUGAAUCUGUCAGCAAAUGGUCUUAAUUAACGUACUGAUAAGAGUUCUGUUGACAUAAUAAACACACAAGCGUCUGACACAGGCAUAAAACAUCAAAAGACACCAGUUAACAAUCUUCAGACAAGAGUAUUUCCAUCCAGAUAACAUGUCUUCAGAAGAGUAGAUAAAGUUGGAGCUCAAGAAAGUUCGGGACGAGUUUAAAAUAUCAGAGUCGGACUGUGGAUCUUCCCGUGUUCAAGUUUGCUCAACUGACAACAAAAAUCAAGCAUCUAUCAUCUGUUUUACAUAAAAAAGGAUAAGCAUUCUAGAAAGGGGCUGGUAGCAAUGGUGCAAAGGAGGGAGAAGAUUCUUAGAUAUCUCCGAAGAACAGACUGGGAUUCGUAUUGCCAAGUUCUCUCACAACUUGGGCUGAGGGACAACCCAAGUUCUACAAACACUAAGCCUCAAAUCUUUUUCUCUUUACUUCACCUUUUUAUGUGCUGACAAUUUUUCUUGAUUUUUUACUUGUGUUACAUUCUUUGGUUAUUUUUACGACUCACUGUUAUCUAAACAGUGAUAUAUUAUGUAACUGGGUCUAGAAAUGAGAUUUUUGUGGUUAUAACAAGCACCAUUCUUUAGUGGAAAUGCUCAGUCUUUAGUAAUGUGAAAUGUUUAGACUUAGUAGCACUGUAUCUAUAGCGGGAUCCUACAUCGACAGUUCUUAGA
Molecule: long non-coding RNA, 824 nt
Organism: Papaver somniferum (opium poppy)
Lineage: Eukaryota; Viridiplantae; Streptophyta; Magnoliopsida; Ranunculales; Papaveraceae
Exons: 4
Source: RefSeq, a predicted model, not a curated record